AUAUAAAAUGACUCUCGGCAACGGAUAUCUCGGCUCUUGCAUCGAUGAAGAACGUAGCGAAAUGCGAUACUUGGUGUGAAUUGCAGAAUCCCGUGAACCAUCGAGUCUUUGAACGCAAGUUGCGCCCGAAGCCAUUAGGCCGAGGGCACGCCUGCCUGGGUGUCACAC
Molecule: ribosomal RNA, 168 nt
Filed under: Pultenaea dentata
Lineage: Eukaryota; Viridiplantae; Streptophyta; Magnoliopsida; Fabales; Fabaceae
Description: 5.8S ribosomal RNA
Rfam family: 5.8S ribosomal RNA
About the family: 5.8S ribosomal RNA (5.8S rRNA) is a component of the large subunit of the eukaryotic ribosome. It is transcribed by RNA polymerase I as part of the 45S precursor that also contains 18S and 28S rRNA. Functionally, it is thought that 5.8S rRNA may be involved in ribosome translocation.
Source: RNAcentral